UGCAGGGGAGACAGUCACUGCCGUAUUGUCCUUCCUUCGGGGUUUCUUCUUUCAAGAGGACUGCAGAUUCACACGCACAAUGAGGAGUAACACGAAGAUCCCCGGUGCUGGCCACCGUUCCCUCCACUGGCCACAUCUUGUGGCACUGUGCUGCCUGUAUCCAAGAUCCCAGCCAAGACAGCCUCCAGCCGAUCCCACCGACGCAGACGGCGCGCUCUGCGUGCACCCGCGUGUGCGCUCAGAUCUGUGCGACUCUGUCACGCCUGGAUUCCCGGGGCCACCGGCGCUGCCAAGACACAGACCAUUUCCAUCCACAGGGUCCCUCCGCCCCCCUUCCCCGACCCUGGACAGCCCCUGUCCGCUCUCCCCCUCCACAGAGUGUCACUCCGCAGUGCCGUCUAAAAGGAGUCAUGAGGCCCCUGUGACAGGCUGUCCUCAUUCACAGAGACUCUGAAGCAGCCUCCUCACCAAGCACCAAGCCCAGUGCGGGGCUUGUCCUCACCACCGCAGGAUCACAACCCAGCUGAAACCCAGAAGAGAGAGAGCGGCAGAAGGAGAGGGAGAGAGAGAAUCUUGAGCAAGUUCCACAGUGGAUGCAGAGCUCAAAUGAGGGCUUGAUCUCACAACCCUGAGAUCAUGACCUGAGUCGAACUCAAGAGUUGGACGCUGCAGCGACUAAGCCACCUAGGUGCCCCUUGAUGGAGAUUUUAAAAGGAAAAAAAUACAUAUAUUCCUACCAAAGCUAAGAAGAUAAAAUUUGGAGUCUAAUUAAUUGCUAACUUCAGGGUUCUCUUCAAAAAAUACCCUGAUAUUUGGCCAAUUCUGGUCAAAAAUAGUAAGUUAGGUCUUAUUACAUUAAAAAAAGCAGUUAUUUUGAGCAAAUAUUCUUCAUAAUAAGCAAUCAAGACAUUACACAAAUGUCUUCAAAGAGUAAAUCUGUUAGACAUCUGCGAUUAUAUUUUAUUAU
Mustela lutreola (European mink) is the source of this 967-nucleotide long non-coding RNA. RefSeq lists it as uncharacterized. The transcript is spliced from 3 exons. Lineage: Eukaryota; Metazoa; Chordata; Mammalia; Carnivora; Mustelidae. The record is from RefSeq and is a predicted model, not a curated record.